GAAUGCUCGACGAAUUCCACCGUCCAUCUGGCGUUCUUGAUCGAGCCAUUGCGGUCUUGACACACGGAUUCUUCGUCUACCUCUGCUAGAAGGAGGAAGAAGCAGAGAGGCAAAUGAACGACGGGGGAAGGAAAGAACCGUAAACCCGAUAAAGGAGGAGCCCACGGCUUUGCCUCGCCGGAAUCUGCUAAUUCCGCUGUCCGGAAGCUUACCAGAUCUCUGUCAGUGACGUGGCCAGAUCCGGCACCGGAGAUGCACAUCGACGGCGACCGGGUUUCUAAAUCGUAAUCAGAAUUACUCGAGAACGACGAAUU
Cucurbita moschata (crookneck pumpkin) is the source of this 314-nucleotide long non-coding RNA. RefSeq lists it as uncharacterized. The transcript is spliced from 3 exons. The record is from RefSeq and is a predicted model, not a curated record. NCBI's taxonomy places the organism in Eukaryota, Viridiplantae, Streptophyta, Magnoliopsida, Cucurbitales, Cucurbitaceae.